UUAUUUGGACAUAAAUAAUACGAAAUUUAUCGAGAUUUAACGAUUGAGUGAUUUUUGGACUAAAUUGAGCAAAAGAAAAGCUUAGGACCAAAAGUUAAGGAGGUGGCUUCAUUAAGGGUUGAAGUGCACUUUUUGCCAUAAAUAUAUAUAGGCCUAAAUUAAAAUAAGAUCAGCAAUUACUCAUAAUUUCCAGCCAUCUUCUUCAUUCACUCAAAGCUUCUCCAAAACUCUACAUCCAUUAAAAUUUAAAACUAGCAUAACUCUUUCAUUUCUCAACCAAAUUGAGUGAUAUUGGUGUCUAUGGAAAGAGGAGAAGAUUAUCUACUGAUCUAGACUAUAAAUUUAAGAUUCUUCGUUUAACAUCGGAAUUGAGCGAUUUUGGCGGCGUUGGAACGGGAAAGGAAAGACCUACUGAUAUAAGCCAUAAAUUUCAGGUACCUAGACUUGGAGUGACUAGAAGUCCAUCAUUUUUUCCGGGAGUCUGUCUUGCCAUGUACAGGCCGGCUUCCGUGACCGCUGCAGUAGUACAUUGUGUGAUCAGUCAUGACCUAGGACAAUAUUAUAGUUUUGGAAAAUGUUUAUAACGAUGUUAGAUUUACGUAGCCAGUGUUUACAAAAUAACUAAUAAUGUUUUCAUAAUUAAAUGCUUCCGUGUUAUAACAUAAUUGCGAAAAAUUUAUAGUGAAUUUCAGGCUUGCUACGGGAUUCGGAACUACAAUUCCCAUUCCCUAGCGCCGGUCGCGGCCCUCGAUUUUGGGUCGUGACAAAGUUGGUAUCAGAGCAGUUGGUCCAGUUACCACUGCCAGUCUAUGAAAAGUGUCUGUUUGACCUUAAGUACCUAGGAACUACUGCAGCGUAUAGAGUCGAGCCUUAUUGACUAUAUGUGUUGCUUGAGUUUGUUUUAUGUUAUAAGCAAUUCAUUGCCGAUUAGAACGUGUGAGUGUGAGAUUGCUUAAGUGUCUCAAUGAAUAUGAUAUGCUUAGAUAGUUAGUCAAGCUUUAAGUUACAUAGUGCAUAUCAUAUGUUAAAUUUUUGGAUAUUGUGGAAAAGUGGUUUGGACAGCAACUCAUGAUUAAGAAUUGUUUUUAUUCAACAUAUCCGGGUAAAAUGGAGCUCAGCUACAUGCUGUAUCAGAAGAGGAGGAAGUGCCUCCUAUUUAUCAAAAUGAAUUUCAUGUAGAUACUGGCAAAUGAUCAGGAAUUCAUCAAAAUAGUUUUCACACUAAUG
Mercurialis annua (annual mercury) is the source of this 1227-nucleotide long non-coding RNA. RefSeq lists it as uncharacterized. Lineage: Eukaryota; Viridiplantae; Streptophyta; Magnoliopsida; Malpighiales; Euphorbiaceae. The transcript has 3 exons. The record is from RefSeq and is a predicted model, not a curated record.